Heteronotia binoei (common prickly gecko) is the source of this 221-nucleotide long non-coding RNA. RefSeq lists it as uncharacterized. Lineage: Eukaryota; Metazoa; Chordata; Lepidosauria; Squamata; Gekkonidae. The record is from RefSeq and is a predicted model, not a curated record. The transcript has 2 exons.
AGAAGCCCUCCCACUGUUGCCCCCCAAGCACCAAGAAAACAGAGCAUCACUGCCCCAGGCAGAGAAACACAAGAGAAACCAUGUUGGAUCAGGCCAAUAGUCCAUCCAGUCCAACACUCUGUGUCACACAGUGGCCCAAACCCAGGUGCCAUCAGGAGGUCCACCAGCAGGGCCAGAAUUCCAGAAGCCCUCUCACUGUUGCCCCCCAAGCACCAAGAAGA